ACAAGCCCCUACUCUUCAAUGGUACUGUCCAGAUCAAUGGAAUUAAAGAAACAUCGAAAAAAGAAAGAAAAAAGUGGACAGUGGUUCUGGUGACAUGGUAUCUUAGCUCCAAGGAUCUUGUAAAAUGGAAGUGAAGUAUCUUUGUAAUCUAAAGCUCUUUACUUUGGUCUCCAUUGAGGCAAAAAUGAAAAUUGGAGAACUAGGUUCAUGAGCACUGGUCAAAGGAAGAAGGAAGAACAUAAAGAAAGAAUCAAAGGAAGGGUCAAGAGGAUGGACAAAAAUGGUAAAAAAAUUAUAUCUAUAUAUAUAUAUAUAUAUUGGAAAAGGCAAGUUGGAGCUAAGAAAAACCAGAAAGAGAAAGAGAGAGAGAGAGAGAGAGAGAGAGAGCACGUGGGCUUAGGUAAGGUGACGAUUAAUGGGUAUAAAUAUUUUCUGGGUUAUAAGCCGUGCGGGAAUGAUUAGGUCGUAAUUGGAGCCUUUGCUGUAAAAAAAGUUAUUAGGAAAAAAUCGUCUGGUCCUUCAAUCCAUAGGGGAAGAAUUCUUGUAAUGGAGAAAUAAUCAUGCUUCUCUUUCUCUUUUUCUUCUUCUUUUUUCACUUCUAUCUAUGCUCUUUCUCUUCUUUUUAUUAAUCAUAAAUUGAUGGACUAUUUAUUUUUCUUUUUUCUCAAAAAAA
Molecule: unclassified non-coding RNA, 673 nt
Filed under: Hevea brasiliensis (rubber tree)
Lineage: Eukaryota; Viridiplantae; Streptophyta; Magnoliopsida; Malpighiales; Euphorbiaceae
Source: RNAcentral